AGGGGCAGCGGGGGUGAUGGCUUGCCAUCGCCUGCCGGCGACCGGCGCACGGGUGAGUAACACGUAUGCAACCUGCCCGCCACAGGGGGAUAAGCGGAAGAAAUUCCGUCUAAUACCGCGUGACGCGGCGCCGGGGCAUCCCGGUGCCGCCAAAGGGAUUACCGGUGGCGGAUGGGCAUGCGGCGCAUUAGCUAGUCGGCGGGGUAACGGCCCACCGAGGCGACGAUGCGUAGGGGUUCUGAGAGGAAGGUCCCCCACACUGGUACUGAGACACGGACCAGACUCCUACGGGAGGCAGCAGUGAGGAAUAUUGGUCAAUGGGCGGGAGCCUGAACCAGCCAAGUCGCGUGAGGGAUGACGGUCCUACGGAUUGUAAACCUCUUUUGCCGGGGAGCAAGCGUGCGUUCGUGAACGCACGUCGAGAGUACCCGGAGAAAAAGCAUCGGCUAACUCCGUGCCAGCAGCCGCGGUAAUACGGAGGAUGCGAGCGUUAUCCGGAUUUAUUGGGUUUAAAGGGUGCGUAGGCGGGAUGCCAAGUCAGCGGUAAAAAUGCGGUGCUCAACGCCGUCGAGCCGUUGAAACUGGCGUUCUUGAGUGGGCGAGAAGUAUGCGGAAUGCGUGGUGUAGCGGUGAAAUGCAUAGAUAUCACGCAGAACUCCGAUUGCGAAGGCAGCAUACCGGCGCCCUACUGACGCUGAGGCACGAAAGCGUGGGUAUCGA
RNAcentral lists this ribosomal RNA (720 nucleotides) under uncultured bacterium. RNAcentral describes it as "bacterial SSU rRNA". It matches the Rfam family "Bacterial small subunit ribosomal RNA", at positions 65 to 771 of the family's 1533-position model. The record is from RNAcentral.